UGGGGAAUUUUGGACAAUGGGCGAAAGCCUGAUCCAGCAAUGCCGCGUGUGUGAAGAAGGCCUUCGGGUUGUAAAGCACUUUUGUCCGGAAAGAAAUCCUCUGGGUUAAUACCUCGGGGGGAUGACGGUACCGGAAGAAUAAGCACCGGCUAACUACGUGCCAGCAGCCGCGGUAAUACGUAGGGUGCAAGCGUUAAUCGGAAUUACUGGGCGUAAAGCGUGCGCAGGCGGUUUUGUAAGACGGAUGUGAAAUCCCCGGGCUUAACCUGGGAACUGCAUUCGUGACUGGCAGGCUAGAGUAUGGCAGAGGGGGGUAGAAUUCCACGUGUAGCAGUGAAAUGCGUAGAGAUGUGGAGGAAUACCGAUGGCGAAGGCAGCCCCCUGGGCCAAUACUGACGCUCAUGCACGAAAGCGUGGGGAGCAAACAGGAUUAGAUACCCUGGUAGUCCACGCCCUAAACGAUGUCAACUAGUUGUUGGGGAUUCAUUUCCUUAGUAACGUAGCUAACGCGUGAAGUUGACCGCCUGGGGAGUACGGUCGCAAGAUUAAAACUCAAAUGAAUUGACGGGGUCAUAGCUGUUUCCU
This 585-nucleotide ribosomal RNA is filed under the name uncultured bacterium. RNAcentral describes it as "partial 16S ribosomal RNA". It matches the Rfam family "Bacterial small subunit ribosomal RNA", at positions 355 to 1375 of the family's 1533-position model. The record is from RNAcentral.